This 613-nucleotide ribosomal RNA is filed under the name Alphaproteobacteria bacterium. Its description in RNAcentral is "bacterial SSU rRNA". It matches the Rfam family "Bacterial small subunit ribosomal RNA", at positions 1 to 670 of the family's 1533-position model. The record is from RNAcentral. Lineage: Bacteria; Pseudomonadati; Pseudomonadota; Alphaproteobacteria.
CAACUUGAGAGUUUGAUUCUGGCUCAGAACGAACGCUGGCGGCAGGCCUAACACAUGCAAGUCGAACGAUACAGUGGCAGACGGGUGAGUAACGCGUGGGAACGUACCUUUCACUACGGAAUAGCUCUGGGAAACUGGUGGUAAUACCGUAUACGCCCUCCGGGGGAAAGAUUUAUCGGUGAAAGAUCGGCCCGCGUUGGAUUAGCUAGUUGGUGAGGUAAUGGCUCACAAAGGCGACGAUCCAUAGCUGGUCUGAGAGGAUGAUCAGCCACAUUGGGACUGAGACACGGCCCAAACUCCUACGGGAGGCAGCAGUGGGGAAUCUUGCACAAUGGGCGAAAGCCUGAUGCAGCCAUGCCGCGUGAAUGAUGAAGGCCUUAGGGUUGUAAAAUUCUUUCGUCAGGGAUGAUAAUGACCGUACCUGAAGAAGAAGCCCCGGCUAACUUCGUGCCAGCAGCCGCGGUAAUACGAAGGGGGCUAGCGUUGUUCGGAAUUACUGGGCGUAAAGGGAGCGUAGGCGGAUAGUUUAGUCAGAGGUGAAAGCCCAGGGCUCAACCUUGGAAUUGCCUUUGAUACUGGCUAUCUUGAGUACGGAAGAGGUAUGUGGAACUCC